UGUCGCUGCCGGUUGAAACCGGGAGAGGAAAGUCCGGGCAACACAGAGCACCGCGCAAGCUAACGACUUGAUACCCGUGAGGGUAUGGUAACGUAACAGAGAACGACCGCUUUCCGUCGGAGUUUCAGACCCGCAACGGCAAGCAAGGGUGAAAAGGCGGGGUAAGAGCCCACCGCGGGGGCAGCGAUGUCGCCCGGCAGUACGUCCCGCGGGUUGCAAGACCGUGUAUACCGGCAAACGAGGGUUGCUCGCCCGAUGCCGGGGGGUAGGUUGCUGGAGGCGGCGGGAGACCGCCGUCGUAGAUAAAUGACAGAGGCCCGGGACUCGUCCCGGGAACAGAACCCGGCUUACAGGGC
RNAcentral lists this RNase P RNA (356 nucleotides) under uncultured Alistipes sp. RNAcentral's name for it is "Bacterial RNase P class A". It matches the Rfam family "Bacterial RNase P class A". From Rfam's summary of the family: Ribonuclease P (RNase P) is a ubiquitous endoribonuclease, found in archaea, bacteria and eukarya as well as chloroplasts and mitochondria. Its best characterised activity is the generation of mature 5'-ends of tRNAs by cleaving the 5'-leader elements of precursor-tRNAs. The record is from RNAcentral. Lineage: Bacteria; Pseudomonadati; Bacteroidota; Bacteroidia; Bacteroidales; Rikenellaceae.